GAUGAAGAACGCAGCGAAAUGCGAUAAGUAAUGUGAAUUGCAGAAUUCCGUGAAUCAUCGAAUCUUUGAACGCACAUUGCGCCCGCCAGCAUUCUGGCGGGCAUGCCUGUUCGAGCGUCAUUUCAACCCUCGACUUCCCUUUGGGGAAAUCGGCGUUGGGGACCGGCUGUAUACCGCCGGCCCCGAAAUGAAGUGGCGGCCCGUCCGCGGCGACCUCUGCGUAGUAAUCCAACUCGCACCGGAACCCCGACGUGGCCACGCCGUAAAACCCCCGACUUCUGAACGUUGACCUCGGAUCAGGUAGGAAUACCCGCUGAACUUAAGCAUAUCAAUAAGCGGAGGA
This 343-nucleotide unclassified non-coding RNA is filed under the name soil metagenome. RNAcentral's name for it is "partial contains 5.8S ribosomal RNA, internal transcribed spacer 2, and large subunit ribosomal RNA". The stretch from base 1 to 120 matches the Rfam family "5.8S ribosomal RNA", at positions 35 to 154 of the family's 154-position model. The record is from RNAcentral.